GACGAACGCUGGCGGCGUGCUUAACACAUGCAAGUCGAACGGAAAGGCCCUGCUUUUGUGGGGUGCUCGAGUGGCGAACGGGUGAGUAACACGUGAGUAACCUGCCCUUGACUUUGGGAUAAAUUCAGGAAACUGGGGCUAAUACCGGAUAGGAGCUCCUGCUGCAUGGUGGGGGUGGGAAAGUUUCGGAGGUUGGGGAUGGACUCGCGGCUUAUCAGCUUGUUGGUGGGGUAGUGGCUUACCAAGGCUUUGACGGGUAGCCGGACUGAGAGGGUGACCGGCCACAUUGGGACUGAGAUACGGCCCAGACUCCUACGGGAGGCAGCAGUGGGGAAUAUUGCACAAUGGGCGGAAGCCUGAUGCAGCAACGCCGCGUGCGGGAUGACGGCCUUCGGGUUGUAAACCGCUUUCGCCUGUGACGAAGCGUGAGUGACGGUAAUGGGUAAAGAAGCACCGGCUAACUACGUG
This 468-nucleotide ribosomal RNA is filed under the name uncultured bacterium. RNAcentral describes it as "partial 16S ribosomal RNA". It matches the Rfam family "Bacterial small subunit ribosomal RNA", at positions 28 to 507 of the family's 1533-position model. The record is from RNAcentral.